Molecule: microRNA precursor, 204 nt
Filed under: Oryza meridionalis
Lineage: Eukaryota; Viridiplantae; Streptophyta; Magnoliopsida; Poales; Poaceae
Description: MIR812 microRNA precursor family
Rfam family: MIR812 microRNA precursor family
Source: Rfam by way of RNAcentral
AAUAGAUGAUGCCGUUGACUUUUUCUCACAUGUUUGACCAUUCGUCUUAUUCAAAAAAUUUACGUAAUUAUAAUUUAUUUUAUUAUGAGUUGUUUUUUCACUCAUAGUACUUUAAGUGUGAUUUAUAUCUUAUACAUUUGCAUAAAACUUUUGAAUAAGACGAAUGGUCAAACAUGUGAGAAAAAGUCAACUGCGUCAUCUAUU